Molecule: long non-coding RNA, 280 nt
Organism: Chelmon rostratus (copperband butterflyfish)
Lineage: Eukaryota; Metazoa; Chordata; Actinopteri; Chaetodontiformes; Chaetodontidae
Exons: 3
Source: RefSeq, a predicted model, not a curated record
GCCAAUCCAGUCUCAAGGAACGCAUUUCCCUCCUCACCUUUGCUUCGGCGUUCGGUCUCCAACCUGGCUCUACGUCCGACAGAGACACUUCCUUGCUCGAAUAAAGAUUCAAUUCAGGAUGUAAUGCCUGUGGUGUUUUGAGUGACUAGCCUAGUGGAUCCUGUCUGAGCAGCUAUCCAAGAAGGCAAGCAACAAAGAUGUCCAGUCUGCCCUGCAAGGAGAGGGAGUUGAUGUAGCCUCCUCCACUGUGCCACUUCUCUUGGCCCACUUCAAGGAGGAC